This 485-nucleotide ribosomal RNA is filed under the name uncultured bacterium. RNAcentral's name for it is "bacterial SSU rRNA". It matches the Rfam family "Bacterial small subunit ribosomal RNA", at positions 20 to 518 of the family's 1533-position model. The record is from RNAcentral.
UGGCUCAGGAUGAACGCUGGCGGCGCGCUUAACACAUGCAAGUCGAACGAGAUGAGUGGCUUCGGUCAUGAAUCUAGUGGCGGACGGGUGAGUAACGCGUGGACAACUUGCCUUAUAGUGGGGGAUAGCCGAAAGAAAUUUCGAUUAAUACCGCAUAAUACAAUUUGGUUGCAUGAUCAGAUUGGGAAAGGCUUCGGUCGCUAAAAGAAAGGUCCGCGUCUGAUUAGCUAGUUGGUGUGGUAACGGCAUACCAAGGCAACGAUCAGUAGCUGGUUUGAGAGAAUGAACAGCCACAUUGGGACUGAGAUACGGCCCAGACUCCUACGGGAGGCAGCAGUGGGGAAUAUUGCGCAAUGGAGGAAACUCUGACGCCAGCGACGCCGUGUAAAGGAUGAAGGCCUUCGGGUUGUAAACUUAUAUCGAUUGUGAAAAGCAAGGAUGGUAGCAAAGUAAGAAGCUCCGGCUAACUACGUGCCAGCCGCUGC